AAUAAGCUAUUUAAGAGCGUACGGUGGAUGCCUAGGCUCUCAGAGGCGAUGAAGGACGUGAUAAGCUGCGAUAAGCUGCGGGGAUUGGCACACACAAUUUGAUCCGCAGAUUUCCGAAUGGGGAAACCUACUAUGUUGAAGAUAUAGUAUCCGUUAAGGAAGCAAACCCAGGGAACUGAAACAUCUAAGUACCUGGAGGAAUAGAAAACAAAAGUGAUUCCGCUAGUAGUGGCGAGCGAACGCGGAAUAGCCCAAACCAAAAUUGUUUCGGCAAUUUUGGGGUUGUAGGACCACGUUAUUGAAUGUUCAAUGAAUUAGAAUUCUUUGGAAAAAGAAACCAUAGAGAGUGAUAGUCC
RNAcentral lists this ribosomal RNA (356 nucleotides) under uncultured Flavobacteriaceae bacterium. RNAcentral's name for it is "bacterial LSU rRNA". It matches the Rfam family "Bacterial large subunit ribosomal RNA", at positions 1 to 373 of the family's 2925-position model. The record is from RNAcentral. Lineage: Bacteria; Pseudomonadati; Bacteroidota; Flavobacteriia; Flavobacteriales; Flavobacteriaceae.